RNAcentral lists this unclassified non-coding RNA (561 nucleotides) under Hevea brasiliensis (rubber tree). Lineage: Eukaryota; Viridiplantae; Streptophyta; Magnoliopsida; Malpighiales; Euphorbiaceae. The record is from RNAcentral.
CGACAGUUACGUAUGUAUUGUCACAAGGCAGCCACAGGUGUAUGGCACUAGCAACUCUGAGAAUUUCUCAAAAUGAAACAUUAUUAUUGAGAAACUGCUUAACAUGCCUGAUACGCCAAAGUUUUAAACCCUUGGAUACAAGGUAUGGAACAAGUACAUACAAACACUCUGACAUAUACACACGAACAGUAAUCUACUCCGCAGUCACAUCUGUAGGGCGAAAGGAGGGUACAAAAGCCUCGACCCUCUUCCUGAUCUCAUCUGGAUUAGCUCCGACCACCCUAUCUAUCACUUCAUUACCUCUCAUCAACACGAACGUCGGCAUCGCCUUCACCUCGUACUUCGCAGCAAUUUCCUUCACCUCAUCCACAUCUACCACAAGACACUGAAUAUCCUGAUAAUUCAUAGCAAGUUCUUCAAAGUAUGAGUUCAUGGCCAGAGAUGGAACACACCAUGAAGCAGUAAAGUGAACCAGAACUGGCGAUCCUUGGUUGUUGGCUUGGGCUGUGAGGAGCUCCCAUGAGUCCUCAGAUUCCACCUUCACAACCCUGGACUUGCUUG